GGGCAAUGCAGAGAAAAAUGGAUCUGACUUCCUUCAGCACACAAUGAACACAAGUUUUUGAAUCUAGGCUCAGGUAGUGAAGAUUUAAAAAGUAAUACUGUCAUGAACUUCCUGGAAGGAAAUUGCCAAGUAAAAAUUUAGAUGUAAUCCAAUAAAAUGUGAAAUGGAGACAUCUGCUCCAAAUGAAGAAGACCAUAUGAAAUUCUCGAAAGUUUAUGUGCCGAUUAACAAGACUUUUUUCAGAGCUUAUUAUACACCCAGGCUCUGUAUUGGGAAUGGGGGAAACAACGGUAAAUAUGGCUCGCUCCUUUCUGUCGAAGAAGUCUCCCCUUAAAGGAGGGAGGAACACUUCCCUCAUCAUAGACAGUCACCAUGUGCUGUGAUAAGUGCAGCGACAGAAGAGGUACAGAGCGGUGGCACUGCGUUCAGAGAAGUUGCUGAGGAAGGCUUGGAAAGUUGACAGCUUUGCAAGAUCCGUGUCAGCCAGGGAAAAUAACAACACGAGAACAAAACAACUCAGAAGGGAAAAAAUGUCCUCGUAUUCUGCAUUUGGAUAAACUCCAAGUAUGAAGGAGGAAGUAGAAAAUCUCUUAAUAUGGCUUUUUAAAAAAAGGGCCAAACAGGUCCUUCUACAUAUAUUAGUAUGCCAAGAUGGCGCACAUGCAGGAAUGCAAUCCUAAACACAGCGGCUACCUGCCUGGCUAUGAAUAUGUGACGGAACUGUGACAGGGAUGUUGGUGCUGAGUGUGCUAUAACACAUCAGAGAUUGUGUGUGUGUGUGUGUGUGUGUUUCUAUAUUUGGCACGUAAGGUCUCGUUUGA
This is a non-coding RNA of Heterocephalus glaber (naked mole-rat), 821 nucleotides long. NCBI's taxonomy places the organism in Eukaryota, Metazoa, Chordata, Mammalia, Rodentia, Bathyergidae. The record is from RefSeq and is a predicted model, not a curated record.